GGGACGUUGUUCAGACACGCAUUCUGCUGGUGUCGCCGAACCUGGCCUACUGAUGUCUGGUCGCCCGUCAUUGCUGCUUCGGAGAAAGAACGACCCAACCCCACCCCGGCUGCCUGCCAGCUCUUCUCAUCCAUGGGGAUUGGUAUUUGAGUUACAGCAGCCAUGUUGUGAUCAUGAGGGAAAGGUGAAGAAGAGAAACCCUGGUCUUUUUAAUCUUGAGCUACUAGAACAACCAGCAACUUGGCUACCUCCAGAUAUUUUCUGAUGUAAGGGAAAAUUAUUGCUUAAGUCUCAAAUAUUCACAACUGAUACAAGGCUUGUGUACUUUGAUGACUAUUUCUGAGAAAUCACAUAUAUUACUCUAAGAAAACCUUUUACUUGAGCUAAUUUAAUUGAAUUUUUGGUCCUUGAAACCACAAAGUCCAGAGGAAAAAUAAACAAUUCGAGUAGCUGGAAUGGAUGUUGAAGAAUGGUUUGAGCUUAGAGGCAAAACAAGUGACAUAUUCUGAAGUCUUUGAGUAGGAAUGGCAGUGAAACAAGGAACUCACAUUGAGGACUAGUAGAAGAUAAGGUCCUAGGACUUCCCUGUUGGUGCAGUGGAUAAGAAUUUGCCUGCCAAUGCAGGGGACAUGAGUUUGAUCCCUGGUCCAGGAAGAUUCCACAUGCUGCAGAGCAACUAAUCCCAUGUGCCAUAACUGAGCCUGGGCUCUAGAGCCUGUGAGCUGCAAUUGCCGAGCCUGCAUUCUGCAACUACUGAAGACCGUGCAUCUAGAGCCUGUGCUCCACAACAAGAGAAGCCACCACACUGAGAAGCCGCACGGUGCAACUCAAGUAGCCCCCACUCACCACGACUAAAGAAAGCCCUCACAGAGCAGCGAAGACUCAGCACAGCCAAAAGUAAAUAUUUUUUUAAAUUAUAUGAAAAAAGAAGAUAAGGUUCUAGCAAGAUAGGUUAAAGCACUCUGUAGCUUUAAAGUGUGUCUGGAAGCAAAAAAACUUUUGAAAAUAUAUGGCAGUGUGCUGAAAACAGUCAUUCAAAAGAAGUAAUCUAGUAGUGAGAGAAAAUCAUAAUCUCUGCAGUGGGUUGCAAAUUCAAGAUGAAUAAACUUUAUUUUGUAAAUAAUAAACUUUAUUUUGUAAAUCA
Molecule: long non-coding RNA, 1144 nt
Organism: Dama dama (fallow deer)
Lineage: Eukaryota; Metazoa; Chordata; Mammalia; Artiodactyla; Cervidae
Exons: 2
Source: RefSeq, a predicted model, not a curated record